GUCAAGAAGAAGAAAAUUCAUGAGGCUUGGCGUCCUCGCGCUCCUGCUGUUUGCGCGCAUGCGCGUGGAAGAGCGAUUUCAAAUACAAGGAAGUAACGGCUCCUUUCCUCAAAGAAAGAAACACCCGCUGCGCAAGGUGAGUAAAGGCUCCGAUAUAAAUACACAGAUUUAUUAUUUGUAUACUGAUUCAUACAAUGUUUUGUUUUAACCAUUAAUUUAAUAGCUGCGAUGCUUACGAGUCUAAUGCACUUUGUGGGACGAAAUGGAGACUACAAACACAAGGUCACAAACAAUAAUUAUUAGUUAGGUUUAACUUACACAUGAUGUUUAUUGUUUACCUUUAUUCAUUGUAACUCUUUUCUUCAACUUUUCUAAAUUAUUGUUGUCUUUUACGUUUUUUAAAUAGUUACACAUCCAUGUUAACGUAACGUUACAUGUAACGUAAGGCUAUUAACGUUAGCCUAUUUUUCGAGUCAUUUGCACAUAACGUAACGUUACAUAAAACUGGUUUUGAUCAUUUUCUCUCCUCAGAAAAUCCAGUAUGACUUCUCUAAAAGUCUCAAAGGAUUCACAGAACAGCACUAUCAGUUAAUAAAGAAAUGUGUCUCUGUAGUGGACACCUGUGAGGCAGAGGACAGACAGCUGCUGAAGUCUGAUGCUGGCUGACAAUAAACAGACCUCUCUGGACGUACCCCAUCUUUUGUAGAGUAAUUCUAACAUUGCCCUUCCUGUAAAAUGAUGAUCCUGCUGUCCUGGAUGUAUAUGAUGAGCCUACACAUAAUCUCAGAACAGCUGUGGUAAUAGCAGGAGACCCAUUUGGUGAGAGCAGCACUGCAGUCUUUCCUGAUGGAGGAGACCAUGGACCAUUUCCAUAAGACUGAUGAUGUGUUUCAGCGGCCAUCAGCAUCGUAAAUCCUCACCAUUUUUUAAUAUUUUGAUUUUUUAAAAAUUAUGUGCAUUAAUAACGCUAUACUUUGUAUUAUAUCACAUUUGUAUCAAAUUACUAAAAAAAAAAUAGCUAAUGCAAGGGUGUUUCAAAUCCAGAGUCUUUUGGAGGAAUGCUAAAUUUGACAUUGUUUUAUCUUCUGACUGCUGUUAUCAGUCUCUGUCAGAUUUUUUCCUUUGAUUGAAAGUUGUGAAAAUGCUAUCUUUAGAGUUUUUGUUUUGUUAUUUGAGUAAAUGAGAAUGCAAAAAUAUUUGUGAUACUCUCCCAUUCACUGCUCUCGAAGUUAACCCAACUAUAACAACUUCCGCUGCUGAGAAACUGGUUUAUUAAGCUAUCUUGAGGCUUAUCAAUUUCUUAAAAUGUCCUGUGAUAAUUCUUCCAAUCAGUUUCCAUAAUUUAGAACAGGAAAGAAAAUGUUACUAUUAGUUGCAUUGUGUCUAAAAUUGAAUUGAAUUUAUUAAUUUAAAUUGUAUCAUUGUUGCAGGUACAUUAAAUGUUUUUUAAAGUUCUAAGAUAAUUGAGUCACAUUUAUUUGUUUAUAAUUUUACCAAGGUGUAAAUGUUUUUUUUUGUUGUUUUAUAUUUGUUUAUAGCAAUAUUAACACUGAUGUGUCCAUGAAUGGGAUUGUGAUGUGCAGUAUUGACUAUUUAAGGUGAUUAUGGAUAUUGUUGCUUAUCAAUAAACUAUGUUUUAUAUGCA
Carassius gibelio (silver crucian carp) is the source of this 1645-nucleotide long non-coding RNA. RefSeq lists it as uncharacterized. The record is from RefSeq and is a predicted model, not a curated record. The transcript is spliced from 5 exons. NCBI's taxonomy places the organism in Eukaryota, Metazoa, Chordata, Actinopteri, Cypriniformes, Cyprinidae.